AAGAGGAGAACCAGAGCUGGGUGCUAGCAUCCAUCCAUCCAUUCAUCUCUCCGCUUCCUGGCUGUGGAUGCCAUGUGGCCAGCUGCUUCGGCCUCCUGCUGCUUCGACCUCCCUGCCAUGAUGGACUAGUACUCUGAAAACAUAUACAAGACACGGACAAUGUAGACCGGACAGGGCAUUUGGAUAAAUGGAGCAGAGGACACACCAUGACACUCUGUUGCCCUCAUCUGUCAGGGGAUAAAAUACUGCAGAGGGACAAGAAACUGACACUGUACAUUUGAAUAAAUGGAGCAGAAGACACACUGUGA
Molecule: non-coding RNA, 308 nt
Organism: Peromyscus maniculatus bairdii (prairie deer mouse)
Lineage: Eukaryota; Metazoa; Chordata; Mammalia; Rodentia; Cricetidae
Source: RefSeq, a predicted model, not a curated record